RNAcentral lists this ribosomal RNA (478 nucleotides) under uncultured bacterium. RNAcentral describes it as "partial 16S ribosomal RNA". It matches the Rfam family "Bacterial small subunit ribosomal RNA", at positions 28 to 523 of the family's 1533-position model. The record is from RNAcentral.
GACGAACGCUGGCGGCGUGCUUAACACAUGCAAGUCGAACGGAAAGGCCCUUCGGGGUACUCGAGUGGCGAACGGGUGAGUAACACGUGGGUGAUCUGCCCUGCACUUUGGGAUAAGCCUGGGAAACUGGGUCUAAUACCGAAUAUGAUCAUCAGCUUCAUGGUUGGUGGUGGAAAGCUUUUGCGGUGUGGGAUGGGCCCGCGGCCUAGCAGCUUGUUGGUGGGGUAAUGGCCUACCAAGGCGACGACGGGUAGCCGGCCUGAGAGGGUGACCGGCCACACUGGGACUGAGAUACGGCCCAGACUCCUACGGGAGGCAGCAGUGGGGAAUAUUGCACAAUGGGCGCAAGCCUGAUGCAGCGACGCCGCGUGAGGGAUGACGGCCUUCGGGUUGUAAACCUCUUUCAGCACAGACGAAGCGCAAGUGACGGUAUGUGCAGAAGAAGGACCGGCCAACUACGUGCCAGCAGCCGCGGUAA